RNAcentral lists this long non-coding RNA (1170 nucleotides) under Prunus persica (peach). Its description in RNAcentral is "long non-coding RNA (PPER_LNC003297)". Lineage: Eukaryota; Viridiplantae; Streptophyta; Magnoliopsida; Rosales; Rosaceae. The record is from RNAcentral.
AGCGUUUUGCGGUCGCGAAGACCUCUGCCAGAGUCUGGCUGGGAGUAAUAGUUAGCUCGCGAUAUAAGUCAUGUUCUGCUGGAAGACCUUUCUUGAAUGCAAAAGAUGCAAUUUGGUCAUCACAUCCUACGAUAUUGGUCUUUUCUGCUUUGAACUUCUUGAUGUAAUCUCGAAGGGAUUCAUCGGGCUUCUUGCACAGGUUGAACAGAUGGUCAGGGUCCAAUAAGAAGUGUAUUGUUUAGUGAAGACGUAAGUAAGCUCCUUGAAGCUGCUGAUCGACCCGGAUGGCAGGGUAUGUAACCAAUCCUGAGUUGCUCCUGGCAAAGUCAUUGCAAACACCUUGUACAUUAGCACGUCUUCGGCUUUGUAGAGGAUCAUAAGGCUCUUGAAAUGCUUCAAAUGACUUUCGGGAUCGGAAUCGCCUUUGAAGCAUGUGAAAGAGGGCGUUGAUAAUCAUUUCGGGGGAGCAGCGUGCUCAAUUUUGUAGGUGAAAGGUGAGGAGUUUGCUCGGUCUACCUCAACGCGUAGUGUAUCUUCGAAAUUUCGGCCAAUCUUUAAGUCUCAAAGUCGGUUAUUCACAAGCUUCUCAACAUCUUCUGCACACAUGGCUAGUCGAUCAUGUUGAUAACCAUCGAGAUUUAGGCGAUGCUGAUUGACUUCCUCAUUAGUUUGCGAGGGUCAACCUUCUAGGUUGCGCUGCCUAGGCAACGUGUUGGUGGACUGCGCUUGCGAGGGAUUUUCUGUAACUUGGCAACGAGAGUUGGUUCUUCGAGAGCUAGUAGCGGAGCUCUUUUCUUCACAGUCCUCAUUGUGAUGAUUGUCGAGUUGACCUCCCUAGGGGCCUAGCCUUUCGUGAAUAUUUCUUUGUGAGCGGGCAGCAGAGCGCGUCUCUUCACAAUCCUCGUCGCGAUGGCCGUCAAGUUGACCUUCUUGGGAGCCUAGCCUUUCAUGAACGUUUUCCUGCGAACCUAAGCGAGUGUGGAUGUCAGAUCUUGGGCCCAGCCUAUCAUGCACGUUGGUCCUUAAAUUCAAUCUGGAUGGGAGACCUCGUCUGCUUUGAGUGUGGCUUGCAGACACUUGCGACAUGUCGACAAGCUGAUCUCGUUGUUGUGCAUUUCCUUGUCUGCUUACUCCUGCUCGGCCUGCUUGGUUCCUAUCGAACUACCUAUC